This 382-nucleotide ribosomal RNA is filed under the name uncultured bacterium. RNAcentral describes it as "bacterial SSU rRNA". It matches the Rfam family "Bacterial small subunit ribosomal RNA", at positions 81 to 465 of the family's 1533-position model. The record is from RNAcentral.
CGGCCUGGUGGCGAGUGGCGAACGGGUGAGUAAUACAUCGGAACGUACCCAGAAGUGGGGGAUAACGUAGCGAAAGUUACGCUAAUACCGCAUACGUUCUACGGAAGAAAGUGGGGGAUCGCAAGACCUCAUGCUUUUGGAGCGACCGAUGUCUGAUUAGCUAGUUGGUGGGGUAAAGGCUCACCAAGGCGACGAUCAGUAGCUGGUCUGAGAGGACGUCCAGCCACACUGGAACUGAGACGCGGUCCAGACUCCUACGGGAGGCAGCAGUGGGGAAUUUUGGACAAUGGGCGCAAGCCUGAUCCAGCAAUGCCGCGUGAGUGAAGAAGGCCUUCGGGUUGUAAAGCUCUUUUGUCGAGGGAAGAAACGGCAGUGACUAAUA